This 7699-nucleotide long non-coding RNA is filed under the name Cicer arietinum (chickpea). RNAcentral's name for it is "long non-coding RNA (CARI_LNC003593)". The record is from RNAcentral. Lineage: Eukaryota; Viridiplantae; Streptophyta; Magnoliopsida; Fabales; Fabaceae.
AUUUUCCUAAAUCUAACACACUUUAGACCCAAUAAAAGUGGAGUACCAACAACCAUAAAUUGAUUUGCUUGUAUGAAAAAUUGAGAUCAUCAUAUAGCAUCUUGAUGCUCUACAUAUUUAUAAGGAUGGUUGAUCUUUAUUCAAACAAGUUAAAGGUUUGAUUUCUUAUUUAUUUUACACAAAUACUUAAUUCUUUGAUUUGUAAUACAUUUACAUAUUAGGAUUUCAUUUGUAGUGUUUAUUUUGAAGUUUGGUUUGUAAUUUAUUACUUUGGAUUUGAUCUACUUCUAUGCUAGUGUUUUGAAUUUGACGUGAUUACAAAUUUUGCCGUGUGUAUGCCUUAUGAAUUUGUUGAGUCUAUCAUUUGCCUUUCUAUACUUUAUGCAUUGAGACUCAUUUUUUGGGUAGCUUUGAUUGUAUGGUAGCUUAAUCCUAAGCGUUGGCUAUAUAUUUUGCACUAGAACAAUUCAAUAGUACUGAUCAUUUUGUGGUUUCUCUUUUCUUUUUGAUAAUAUCAAGAUGAAAAAAAUGAGAUUGCAAUGAAUCGUUUCUCUUCCAACAAUUUGAGAAAGAUUCAUCAAUAAAGACUCGCAAAGAUUUACAAUCAUAAAAAACAGGAGAUUGUAACUGUAAGAGUCUCUUAGAUGAUAUGCGUAUAUCUUUGACGAUUCUCAUUCUCAAUAUAUUGACAAUGCUACUUGAAUUGGAAAGAGUUCAUGAAAAAUAAUGUUUUAGCAUGCAUAACUUUUAUUGGAUGUUGUUUUAGCAUGCAUUAACUUUGUAGCAUAUUUUAUUGCAUUGACAUACUUUGGAACACAUUAAAACAAAAUUCGAAGUGAUUUUUAAUUUUGUAAAUCGACUUACAGACAUCAAAAACUUAGUUUUUUAUGUCCUAGACCUAUGAAUCACCUUAUAGGACAUAUGAGUUGACUCACCUUAAAACAAAAUAUUUUGUAAUUCAACUUACAAAGGUGUGAAUCGACCCACACAAUUGCAGACUUCAAAAAUUCAUUUUUCAAAUUUCUAUAAGUUGACAAACUAUCUAUUCUUCUCAUUCCAGAUCAUCCUCGAAAAUUAUUUUUGCAAAGAUCAAUUCCUAAACAGUUCCCAAGUGAUAAUAUACCAUUUUGUUCAUGCAAUCAGACAUUUUCCUGCCACUAAAACUCAAUAUCCCCAUUCUGCAUAAAAUAUGUGUAGUCAACUUUAUGGUUCUCUCUAACGUGUGUGAAGGAGAGAACUUUCUCUAAUUGUCGUAACCAAUACUUGGAUCGUUCUGGAUCGGAGGCCUCCUUGAACCGUGGUGGUUUCCUUUUCAGGAAUGCAAAUAGUCCUACGUCUUCAUGGGCGUUCUCUUUUUACUCCCUUACACACGGGUAGUCUAUUGUGUAUGAAGUAACAUCGCCUCAACCAAUUCCUUGAUGAUCCUAGUCGUCUCAAAUUUCUCCAGUCAUCUCGUCCAUCCGUAAAGUCUCGUCUAUGGGUUCCUAACUCCCAUUAUCUAAACCUCUUAUAGCAUUUUUGGUUCUUUUACCCCGAGCGCAUGCAUUAUGAGCCAUUGUAUCCUUAAAAGGAUAACAUAGGCUUAACAUUCAAAAUAUAUGACAAUAAUAGGACUAUAUGUAUAAACUUUAGGAAAUGAUCUAGUCAAAAGGAAAAUAGCACAGGUCAGAGCCACUUCUCGAAUUCUCUAUGUCAUUAAAAAUAAAAGUGUCACUUUUAUGAAAUUUAAAGAAUGACAUAUGCAAAUUGGAACUCAAAAGGAAUCUAAGCUGAAAUGUUUAAGAACUGACAAUUUUGGAAAAGGGUCAGAUGUAUGAUCUUGAGUGCAGGUCUGCCAAAAACAUUAUGGGGAGAAGCUGCAGUUACAACAGUUUACCUGAUCAAUAAAUGUCCUUCAUCAACUAUUGGAUUUAAGACACCAAUUGAGAUGCGGAAUGGCAAGCCAGCUGACUCCUCAAAUCUGAAAGUAUUUGGCUCUUUAGGAUUUGUUCACACAAGACAAGAUACAUUGGAUCCUAGAGCAAUCAAAUGUGUUUUCAUUGGAUAUCCUAAUGGAAUAAAAGGUAACAAGUUGUGGAGGAAUGACCAAGGUGUGUCUAAGUGCAUCAUAUCAAGAGAUGUAGUGUUUGAUGAAACACGAAUGCCCAUGAUUGACAAAGAACAUUCUUCUAUUGAGACAAAAUCUCUCAAAUGGUUUUAAUUAUAACAAAAUUACUUAAGAGAUUAUGAUUGUGGUUAAUAACUAAUAUGUGCUUUUGAGUGAAUUUAUAUAAGAAAACAUGUUAUUAAUCAUUAAGGCAAAAAGGAGAAAAAUCUAAUACAAAUCUAAAGGAUUGAAAUUCCUAUGGAUAGCCUCGUGAAGAGGAUGAAGUCUCAAAUCUGCACAAUACUUGUCCUCUCCAGAAAAAAUGUUUUUAUUCAUUAAAGAAAUGCACAACAGUAUCAAAGAAUGAAUAAAUAAAGCAUUUGAAAUAAAAAUAAGAAGGCCAAAGGAAAAGGACGAAAAUGGCCAGAUCUAAGUCUAGAGGAUGAUAGACUAGGCUGAGGAUGGUUCAGUAAAGUUGAAAGCAACCCAUCAAGCAUGUGCAAAGGAUAAAAUCAUACCAUUUAUUGUGCUUGCAUGAAUGAAUACAUGAAGAAGUCAAGUUAAAGAAAGGCAACAACAAACAAGCCAAAAAUGGAAGAUCACAUGUUGAAAGCAGAUUUGAUCCUCGGACUGGAGGAUGACAGUUCUAUGUAAGAGGGUAACUCUUUCUCUUGUCAACAUCACCCUCAAAAGUUGAAAUCAACCUAGUCCAGAGGAAUUCAGAAGAUGAUAAACAGAAGAGGACAAAAUAAAAGACCUCCUCAAAAAGAAAAAAUUCACAAAAGUCAAAUAACUUGUUAUGGAUGCAACAAGAUGGGACACUACAAAACUGAGCAUCCUCUCAAAAAAAGGAACUCAAGAAGAUUUCCAUACAAAAAAAGAAAGCCUUGGUACUUGGACAGUGGUUGCUCAAGACAUAUGACAUGGGAUAAGCAAUGCUUUAUAUCAUUAGAGAUAAAGGAUGGAGGAUCAGUCACAUUUGGCAAUAAUGAUAGAGCUCAAAUAAAAGGAACAAGUAUUAUUGGUAAGAAUAAUUCUGCAAAAAUUGAAAAUGUUCAAUAUGUGGAUGGCUUAAAAGAUAACUUGCUAAGCAUUAGUCAAUUAUGUGAUAAUGGAUUUGAAGUUAUUUUUAAGCCUACUCUAUGUGAGGUUAAACACUCAUCGUCGGGUAGAGUUUUCUUUUCCGGUUUUAGAAAAAAGAAUUUAUAUGAACUUUAUCUUGAUGAUUUACCUACAGAAUCUUGUUUUGUUUCCAUUGAAAAAGAUAAAUGGAUUUGGCACAAACGAGCUGGUCACACAAGCUUAAACACUAUUUCUAAAUUAGAAAAAUUGGAAUUCGUAAAAGGUGUUCCAAAAAUUAAUUUUGAAAAAGACAAAUUUUGCGAAGCUUGUGUCAAAUGAAAACAAGUUAAGAGUAGUUUUCACUCUAAAAACAUUGUUUCAACAAAUCAUCCUCUUGAACUUAUUCACAUUGACCUUUUUGGUCCUAUCAAAACUCCAAGUCUUAGUGGAAAAAGAUAUGGUUUUGUAAUUGUUGAUGAUUUCUCUCGUUUUACUUGGGUUCUAUUUUUAAAACAUAAAUAUGAAGCCUUUGAGGCAUUCCACCAUUUCUGCAAAAUAUUCAAAAUGAAAAAGGAUAAAAAAUUGUAUCCGUGAGAAGUGACCAUGGAGGUGAAUUUGAAAAUGAAUCCUUUAAAAAUCUUUGUGAAGAAAAUGGUAUUUCUCACAACUUUUCUUGUCCAAGAACUCCCCAACAAAAUGGGGUUGUUGAAAGGAAAAAUAGAACUUUACAAGAAAUGGCUAGAACUAUUUUAAAUGAGCCAACAUUGAAAAAUACUUUUGGGCCGAAGCCACCAAAACUGCUUUUUAUGUUUCUAAUCGUGCAUCCAUUAAAAAAAUUUUAAACAAAACUCCAUACGAAUUAUGGAAAGGGAGAAAACCAAAUAUUUCAUAUUUUCAUAUAUUUGGGUGUUAUUGCUACAUUCUAAAUAAUAAAGAAAAUUUGGGAAAGUUUGAUCCAAAAUCUAAUAAAGGAAUUUUUCUAGGAUACUCCACAACAUCAAAAGGUUAUAGAAUAUAUAAUCUUUGGACUCAAACUGUGGAGGAAUCCAUGCAUGUUAUUUUUGAUGAGUUUGAUGACUUGUGUUUAGACAAAAUGGAUAAAAAUGAAAAAGAUGAACAGUCAUUCUCUCAAGUACCCGGUCCUCACGAAGAGGAUGAGUCUGACCCAACCUUUCAGCAACUUCCAAGAGGAUGGAAAACAGUCACACAUCAACCUCCAGAUCUAAUCAUUGGGAACACCAAGGAUGGUGUUAGAAUCAGAAAUUCUCUAAGGGAAAACACUGCCAACAUGGCCAUGAUAUCACAAGUUGAACCCAAAACGAUUGAUCAAGCUAUUAGUGACAAAUCAUAGGUUGAAGCUAUGAUGGAAGAACUCUCACAGUUUGAAAGAAACAAGGUAUGGAAUCUUGUACCCAUCAUUUGGACAAAUCCAUUAUUGGGACUAAAUGGAUAUUUAGAAAUAAACUAAAUGAGGAUGGAGAGGUCAUUAGAAAUAAAGCAAGAUUAGUGGCACAAGGGUACAAUCAACAAGAAGGAAUUGAUUAUAAUGAAACGUUUGCACCCGUAGCAAGACUUGAAGCAAUAAGAAUCCUCUUAGCUUAUGCUACUCAUAAAGGUAUCAAACUAUUUCAAAUGGAUGUCAAAAGUGCCUUUUUGAAUGAGUUCUUAAAUAAGGAAGUGUAUGUUCGUCAACCUCCUGGGUUUUAGGAUGAGAAGAGGCCGAACCAUGUGUUCAAACUCUCAAAAGCUCUUUAUGGUUUAAAGCAAGCUUCUCGAGCUUGGUAUAAGAGGUUAAGCUCUUUUUUAAAAGAAAAUGGAUUUAUUAGAUGACAUAUUGAUACUACUAUUUUCAAGAAGACUCUUGAGAAGGAUUUAUUGAUUGUUCAAAUUUAUGUCGAUGACAUAAUUUUUGGAUCCACAAAUGAAAAGAUGUGUAAAGAUUUCUCCAACCUCAUGCAAAGUGAGUUUGAGAUGAGUAUGGUGGGGGAAUUAAAAUUCUUCCUUGGUUUGCAAAUCAAACAACGAGAGGAUGACAUUUUCAUAUCACAAGAAAAAUACACUAAAUAUUUACUCAACAAAUAUAACAUGAGUUCAGCCAAGAGUAUGGGAACUCCUAUACACCCAUCCUUCAUACUCCACAAAGAUGAUGAAGGAACUCCAAUAUCUGAAAAAGAGUACAGAGGGACGAUCGGAUCCUGGUUGUAUUUAAUAGCCAGCAGACCGGACAUAGUCUUUGCAGUCGAUCUUUGUGCAAGAUUCCAAUCCUCUCCUAAAGAAUGCCAUCUCACUACAGUAAAAAAGAUUUUUAGAUAUCUUGUUGGCACUAUAAAUCUGAGAAUUUGGUACAAGAAAUGUUCCAAUCUUGACCUCUUAGCUUAUUGUGAUGCCGACUACGCGGGAGAUAAAGUUGAAAGAAAAAGCACAAGUGGUGCUUGCCAAUUUCUUGGUAAAUCCCGAAUAAGUUGGUCAUGCAAAAAAAAAAAGUACCAUUGCUCUUUCAUCUACUGAGGCAGAAUAUGUAUCAGUCACUCAAUGUUGCUCACAAUUACUUUGGAUAAAAAAUCAACUUGAGGAUUACUCACUAAGGUACGCAAAAAUUCUCAUCCUCUGUGAUAAUACAAGUGUAAUAUAGCUGUCUAAAAAUCCCAUUCAACAUUCUAGAUCUAAGCACAUUGAAAUUAAACAUCAUUUUAUAAGAGAUCAUGUGCAAAAAGGGGAUUUAGAACUGAUUUUUAUUGACGUUGAAAAUCAAUUAGCAGAUAUUUUUACCAAAACUCUCCAAGAGGAUAGGUUCAAAAAGAUCUUGGAGGAACUCUCAAUCCUUAAUUUGUCUAAAAUUAAUUGAUUUAUCCUUUUUAUGUUCCUUUAUUAUACUUAUCUUAUAAUGGUUUUUUUUUUUUUUAUAAGUAAAAAUCCAAAAAAUAUCUGAUGUUUUAUUUAAUAUGUAUAUACAUUUUUAGUCUAAACCUGCGAGGAUAGCAAAAACCACCAGAGGACGGAAUGUCCUUAUUGGUGUAACUUCCCUUUACACGGCAGAGUAGAAAAACUGCACACGCCUCCUCUCUCAUUGGCCAGCACGCGUGGCGCCUGCCUCCAUGUUUCACGCUGUGCAUUUAAUGCAUUAACGACUACGUGUCCACAACAUGCCUCAUCCAUCAUCACGCUAGGUUCCCAGGUAAACGACACAUUAACUUUCUUUUCUCUCACAUGUUUCCUCCCACGAUUCUUCCUGUACAUCUUCUGUCCUCAUCUAUGUAUUUCACGUCCUCCAUCUUUCUAACUCAUCAACCCUAUGUUCAAAACUUCUCUUUACUCAUCAGUUGUUUUCCACUCUACGUGUUUUUUCCAAUGGCUCGUACCAAAGUUACUGCAAAACGCAAAAUAUCUUAUCAAGAACUCGAAGAGAAUCAAGAUGUCUACUCAAGCACUGAUUCAGAUUACCAUGAGGAAACCCAAUCUGAAGGAAAUUCCUUGAACACCAUUCCUUCCUCUCAACCAUCCAAAAGUUCUUCUUCUUCUUCUUCUUCUUCUAUCACUCCAAAAAUCUCAAAAAACUCAUCCUCCUCUGCUCCCAUAAGGUGCUCCUCCAGGACCAUAUCUGGAGUUGUUUCAUCCAAAAGGACGUCCCUUCAAGAAAACACGAUUCAUGUCAUCCACUCUAAUGAUUCAGAGACAAAUAUCCCUCCAGAAUCUUCACAUCAGCCUCCUCCUGCAAAAUAUACAUAAAAAACUUCAACUCCUAAAAAUGCCAAACCUUCUUCACCAAAACCCCCAUCCUCAUCCACAAAAAAUUCUAAAAAUACUCCACUGUUUGAUUCGGCCGAAUUAGAAACUAACUACAUCUCAAAAUGGCAAAACAAAUAUGUGGUCAAUGGUAAAAUCAUUGACCUUGCUGAUAUCAAACAAGGAGGAUUCAAUGUGGAAGAAAUGUUUGACCAACUCGGAUGGACCUCUUUUUUCCAAAUCAAUGAACCCAAGUAUCCUCACCUUGUAAGGGCUUUCUAUGUUGCCUCAAAGGGCUCAAAUUAGUAUGGUGCUAAAAGGGGUUCAUAUGGAAAUAAAUCCCACUACGCUAUGUCAAAUCCUUGAUAUACGCGAUGAAGGAGCCUACUACUUAUCAGAGACAUGGUAUUCACAAUGUGUCAUCCCUAGAACCUCUGUACUCCAAAACACUCUCAUCAUAUGCAUAUUUUCCCACUAUUCUAGUCUUAUUUAUCCUCAACUACUAGUUAAAUUAAGGAUUUAUUUGAUAUAUUUUGUUGAUUUUUGUUCCUUGAGUUAAAUUAAAUGUUUUAUGUUUUAUUUUAGUGAUUAAGUAGGAAUUUUUCGUAAUUUUACAUUGCGUUGCGUUUUGGUGCAGUGCUGAAUUUUGGUGAGAAAUCAACAUGACACAUGUAGAGUAUUUCAGCCAUAUCUGGUGUUGUAGAUGUCCAAUUGGAGUCAAACCAAAUGCAAAUGAAAGCUAGGAUCCAUAGCUACAACUUUCAUGAAGACACCGGAACCAAAUUCAGACUCGAAAGAGGAGAAAAAUGCAAUAUACGCCAGAUAGCA